Molecule: non-coding RNA, 184 nt
Filed under: Acidobacteriota bacterium
Lineage: Bacteria; Pseudomonadati; Acidobacteriota
Description: Acidobacteria bacterium (activated sludge metagenome) 6S RNA
Rfam family: 6S / SsrS RNA
About the family: E. coli 6S RNA was the first non coding RNA to be sequenced, but its function was unknown until recently. It consists of 184 nucleotides that fold into an extended hairpin structure with a large single-stranded internal bulge.
Source: RNAcentral
CAUCCCCUGUGGGGUUGGUGAUGGGUUUUCCUAUUUUAGAACCAACACUAACGCUCAGGGAGUCUUUCACCUGCGUGGCCUGUGCGAGCCCCGCCAGUACGGGGAGCUAAUGGCUCGUGGAGCGGACACCCACCUGAUGAUUCAGGUUCUAGAGCGGCAGCCCACACGGCUUCGCGGGGGAUGC